CGAACGGGUGAGGAACGCGUGGACAACCUACCCCGGCGUGGGGGAUACCCGCCAGAAAUGGCGGCUAAUACCGCGUACGGUUCUCCGGCGAAGGGCUGGGGAAAGAAAGCAGUAAUGCGCGCUGGGAGGGGUCUGCGGCCGAUUAGCUUGUUGGCGGGGUAACGGCCCACCAAGGCGAUGAUCGGUAGCUGGUCUGAGAGGAUGAUCAGCCACACUGGGACUGAGACACGGCCCAG
This 236-nucleotide ribosomal RNA is filed under the name uncultured bacterium. Its description in RNAcentral is "partial 16S ribosomal RNA". It matches the Rfam family "Bacterial small subunit ribosomal RNA", at positions 99 to 334 of the family's 1533-position model. The record is from RNAcentral.